UCGCCGCCUCCUCUCCCCACUUCCACCGCGCGCCGCCACCUCUCCCCCUUCCACCGCGCGCUGCCUCCUCCCCCCGCUUCCACCGCGCAUCGCCACCUCUCCCCCUUCCACGCUCCUCCCCAUCCACCGGGCGCCGCCACCUCCUCCUUCGCCAAAUCCGCCGCGCGCCGCCACCUCGCUCCCCAUCCACCGUGCCCCGCUUCCCCCUCCGCCUCGGCGAAAUCCUCCCACCUCCUCCACACCUUCCUCCAAGUCGGCGGCGGCGGCGAGUUCAAAGUUCGAAGCUGCAAGCGCGGUGGUUCCCUGAGCCAGAGAAGGUGUGUUUCGAUUUGGGAAGAAGAAGGCCUUGCUGUCCAGUGAGCAGGCAACCAUAAAAAGGGCUAGCAGAGGUGCUGUAAAAAAAAAACCAAGAACCUACAAGAACCAUAAAAGAGAUGAUUUGUAUUGUUUUUGGGACCUCGAUACACCUACAAGAACCUUAGUUGCAUCUAAGUUAUGUAAUUAUUUCUAUGUACUUGAAGAACUCCAUUAUAUCUAAGUUGGACAUUUAUGUAAUAGCUAUUUGAGCUGAUGGACAACUGCUAUUUGUAUCAGAAUACUGCUAUUGUGAUACUGGAACUUGAAGGC
RNAcentral lists this long non-coding RNA (627 nucleotides) under Oryza sativa aus subgroup. Its description in RNAcentral is "lncRNA OsN22_07G014890". The record is from RNAcentral. Lineage: Eukaryota; Viridiplantae; Streptophyta; Magnoliopsida; Poales; Poaceae.